AUUCCAGCUCCAGUAGCGUAUAUUAAAGUUGUUGCAGUUAAAAAGCUCGUAGUUGGAUUUCUGGUACGGCGCGUUUGGCCGACACCCGUUAGGGUGUUCUGUGCCGUGCGCGCCUGCCAUCUUUCUAGAAAACCUCUCUACCCUUCACUGGGCCGGAUUGGCAGAUCUAGAACUUUUACUUUGAAAAAAUUAGAGUGUUUAAAGCAGGCUUGUGCUAUGAAUACAUUAGCAUGGAAUAAUAAUUUAGGACUUUGGUCCUAUUUUGUUGGUUUCUAGGACCGAAGUAAUGAUUGAUAGGGAUAGUUGGGGGUGCUAGUAUUCAGCGGCUAGAGGUGAAAUUCUCGGAUUUGCAAAAGACUAACUUAUGCGAAAGCAUUUGCCAAGGAUGUUUUCAUUA
RNAcentral lists this ribosomal RNA (397 nucleotides) under Thaumatomonas sp. Its description in RNAcentral is "partial small subunit ribosomal RNA". It matches the Rfam family "Eukaryotic small subunit ribosomal RNA", at positions 582 to 975 of the family's 1831-position model. The record is from RNAcentral. Lineage: Eukaryota; Cercozoa; Imbricatea; Thaumatomonadida; Thaumatomastigidae.